AUGAUUUUGUUAUCUGUUUUAAAUUCUGCUUUUGUCACAUAACAGUUAAGAAUAUUUCCCUAUACUAACAGUGUGUAAACAUUUUUUUAAUGUGUGUGGAUUAUUGCAUGGUGUUUGCAUAGUUUAUGUUUCUUGCCAUUCUUCCGUUACUUUUUUUUUUUUUGAGACUCUUGCUCUGUCAUCCAGGCUAGAGUGCAGUGGCACAAACAUGACUUACUGCAGCCUUGAACUCCUGGUCUCAAGCAGUUCUCCCACCUUAGCUUCCCAAAUAGCUGGUACUGUAGGAACAUGUUAGCCUGCCUGGCUAACAUUUGUUUGUUUGUUUAUUUUUGUGAAGAUGGGAUCUGGCUGUAUUACCCAGGCUGGUAUCAAACUCUGGAGCUUCAAGUGAUCCUCCCACCUCAGCCUCCCAAAAGUCUUGUUCUAGAGAAAGCCAAAUUUCACCUUUGCAUUAGUGUGUUAGUAAUGUUAAACCCAAUUCUUAAUAAAACCUUAUAAACAAAUCUAUUGAAUCUUAAUUAGCUCAACCAUAAGGUAAAGUUUUCAUAACCCUUUUUUAAUCUUUUACAAUUUUAUUUUAAGUAGUAGAUCAAUUUAGUAAGAAAAUCCGUAAUUCACAAAAUAGACAGACCACUAGCCAGAUUAAUAAAAAAGAAAAGAGAAUAGAUGCAAUAAAAAAUGAUAAAGGGAAUAUCACUACAGAUUCCACAGAAAUUCAAAUCAUCAUCAGAGAUUAUUAUAAACAACUCUAUGCACAUAAACUAGUAAACCUGGAAGAAAUGGAUAAAUUCCUGGACACUUGCCUCCUCCCCAAGCCUAAACCAGGAAGAAGCCGAAACCCCGAACAGACCAAUAACAAGAUCUGAAGUUGAGGCAGCAGUUAAGAGCCUACCACACACAAAAAAAGCCCAGGCCCAGAUGGGUUUACAGUCAAAUUCUACCAGACACACAGAGUAGCUGGUACCAUUCCUUCUGAAACUAUUCCAAAUAAUCCCAAAAGAGGGAAUCCUUCCCAAAUCAUUUUAUGAGGCCAGCAUCAUUCUGAUACCAAAACUUGGCAGAGACUCAAGAAAAGAAAACUUCAGGCCAAUACCAAUGAUGUACAUAGACGCAAAAAUCUUCAAUAAAAUACUGGCAAGUCGAUUGCAACAGCACAUCAAAAAGCUUAUCCACCAUGAUCAAGUAGGAUUCAUCCCGGGGAUGCAAGGCUGUUCAACAUACGCAAGUCUAUAAAUGUAAUUCACCACAUAAACAGAACCAAAGACAAAAACCACAUGAUUAUCUCAAUUGAUGCAGAGAAGGCAUUUGACAAAAUUCAACAGCCCUUUAUGCUAAAAACCCUCCAUAAACUAGGUAUUGAUGGAAUGUAUCUCAAAAUAAUAAAAGCUAUUUAUGACAAACCAACAGCCAGUAUCAUACUGAAUGGGCAAAAACUGUAAGCAUUCCCUUUGAAAUCUGGCACUAGACAAGGAUGACCUCUCUCACCACUCCUAUUCAAUAUAGUACUGGAAGUUCUAGCCAGAGCAAUCAGGCAAGAAAAAGAAAUAAAGGGUAUUCAAUUAGGAAAGGAGGAAGCCAAAUCAUCUCUAUUUGCAGAUGACAUGAUUGUGUAUCUAGAAGAUCCCAUCAUCUCAGCCCAAAAUCUUCCAAAACUGAUAAGCAACUUCAGCAAAGUCUCAGGAUACAAAAUCAAUGUGAAAAAUCACAAGCAUUCCUACACACCAAUUACAGACUUAAAGAGAGCCAAAUCAAGAAUGAACUGCCAUUCACAAUUGCUACAAAGAAUAAAAUACCUAGGAAUACAACUAACAAGGAAUGUAAAGGACGUCUUCAAGAGAACUACAAACCACUGCUCAACGAAAUCAGAGAGGACACAAACAGAUGGAGAAACAUUCCAUGUUCAUGGUUAGGAAGAAUCAAUAUCGUGAAAAUGGCCAUACUGCCCAAAGUAAUGUAUAGAUUCAAUGCUAUCCCCAUCAAGCUACCAAUGAUCUUCUUUACAGAACUGCAAAAAACCACCUUAAACUUUAUAUGGAACCAAAAGAGAGCCCACAUAGCCAAGUCAAUUCUAACCAAAAGAACACAGCAGAAGGCAUCACACUACCCAACUUCAAACUAUACUACAAGGCUACAGUAAUCAAAACAGCAUGGUACUGGUACCAAAACAGAGAUAUAGACCAGUGGAACAGAACAGAGGCCCCAGAGGCAACACAACAUGUCUACAACCAUCUGAUCUUUGACAAACCUGACAAAAACAAGCAAUGGGGAAACGAUUCCCUGUUUAAUAAAUGGUGUUGGAAAAACUGGCUAGCCAUGUGCAGAAAGCAGAAACUGGACCCCUUCCUGACACCUUACACUAAAAUUAACUCCAGAUGGAUUAAAGACUUAAACAUAAGACCUGGCACCAUAAAAACCCUAGAAGGAAAUCUAGGCAAAACUAUCCAGGACAUAGGAGUAGGCAAGGACUUCAUGAACAAAACACCAAAAGCAUUGGCAACAAAAGCCAAAAUAGACAAAUGGGACCUAAUGAAACUCCACAGCUUCUGCACGGCAAAAGAAACAGUCACUAGAGUGAAUCGGCAACCAACAGAAUGGGAAAAAAUUUUUGCAGUUUACCCAUCUGACAAAGGGCUGAUAUUAAGAAUUUACAAAGAACGAAAACAGAUUUACAAGAAAAAAACAAGCCCAUUCAAAAGUGGGCAAAGGAUAUGAACAGACACUUUACAAAAGAAGACAUACAUAAGGCCAACAAACAUGAAAAAAUGCUCAUCAUCACUGGUCAUUAGAGAGAUGCAAAUCGAAACCACAUUGAGAUACCAUCUCACGCCAGUUAGAAUGGCGAUCAUUAAAAAAUCUGGAGACAACAGAUGCUGGAGAGGAUGUGGAGAAAUAGGAACACUUUUACACUGUUGGUGGUUGGUGGGAGUUCAACCAUUGUGGAAGACAGUGUGGCGAUUCCUCAAGGACCUAGAAAUAGAAAUUCCAUUUGACCCAGCAAUCCCAUUACUGGGUAUAUAUCCAAAGGAGUAUAAAUCAUUCUACUAUAAGGACACAUGCACACGAAUGUUCACUGCAGCACUGUUUACAAUAGCAAAGACCUGGAACCAACCCAAAUGCCCAUUUAUGAUAGACUGGACAGGGAAAAUGUGGCACAUAUAUACCAUGGAAUAUUAUGCAGCAAACAAAAACGAUGAGUUUGUGUCCUUUGUAGGGACAUGGAUGAAUCUGGAGAACAUCAUUCUCAGCAACCUGACACAAGAACAGAAAAUGAAAUACCGCAUGUUCUCACUCAUAGGCGGGUGAUGAACAAUGAGAACACAUGGACACAGGGAGGGGAGCACUACACACUGGGAGGGGAGGGACAGUGGGGGUGGAGUUGGGGAGAGAUAGCAUGGGGAGAAAUGCCAGAUGUGGGUGAAGGGGAGGAAGGCAGCAAAUCACACUGCCACGUGUUUACCUAUGCAACUAUCUUUCAUGUUCUGCACAUGUACCCCAGAACCUAAACUGCAAUAAAAAAAAAAAGGAAAAAAAAAGAAAACCAUGUAAUACAGAUAGGUGAGCCCAGAUUCCAGCCCUGCAUUAGUGUGCUCUUGUUUCAGUGUUCAACAUACUGAAAAAUUAAAUAGUCCCCUUCAGAUCUUAACAAACUUGCUCAUACCUACAGAAAUUCCUUUACAAGAUCAACCCUUCACAAAUCCUCUGUACUUUGCCUAAACCUUCAGUUUUGUCACAUUAGUCUUUCAGGAUAAGACAAUCGUUAAAACCCCCUGAGCCAUAGAAAAUGUUAUUCCCUUUAACAAAAACAUAUUCCCAUCCCUUCUUAUAGCCUCCCACCAAAUUCACAUUUCUUUUUUCCUUCUGCACCUUGCAUAUAAAACUGUUUUUACAGUAGUCUCAAAUGCAUGCUGCACUGUUAACUUUUUUUUUUUUUUUUUUUUGAGACAGAGUUUCGCUCUGGUUACCCAGUCUGGAGUGCAAUGGCACAAUCUCGGCUCACUGCAACCUCUGCCUCCCAGGUUCAGGCAAUUCUCCUGCCUCAGCCUCCUGAGUAGCUGGGAUUACAGGCACGCGCCACCAUGCCCAGCUAAUUUUUUGUAUUUUUAGUAGAAACGGGGUUUCACCAUGUUGACCAGGAUGGUCUCGAUCUUUUGACCUCGUGAUCCACCCGCCUCGGCCUCCCAAAGGGCUGGGAUUACAGGCGUGAGCCACCGCGCCCGGCCCUGCACUGUUAACUUUUAGCAGAUUUUAUUUUUGGUGAGAAACCUGAUAAACAAGCAUUUUUAACCAUGUGUAAGAUUUCAAAGCCUAUGACUUUUCCCAGCCUAGCCAGUGGACCUGCCUAACUCCUUAUGUCUCCAGGCCUUACCUAGAAUCUAUUGGUUGGAGAACAGACAAUUAGUAAAAGUCACAGAAUCAGUUUAUGACCUUAAAGCAUCCAGCAGUGUCUGACCUGCCUAAUUCAGACUAAAUAUAUAAACUUGGAAGACAUUUUCAUUUUAGUUUAUUAAUAAUAACAUUAUUAGAGUCAUGUGACCUACAGGCCUUAAACGUUUCCAUUUUUCUGACAAUGUUUAAUUCAAGUGCUUAUUAUUCUUUAAACCAAUUAAUUGAAGCUCUCUAUAUAAACAUCACACACAGCACGUAUAAAUACACAGAAACAUAUACAUACCCAGAAAUCAAGACAAAAUUCCAUCCAAUGAGAAGUUUUCGGAGGGAGAGCAGGGGCUUUCAAACAGUAUCUGUAAACAUAUAGCCCAAAUAUCAGCUUUAAUUAAGUUGAUUUCUGACUAUGAAAAUCUCAAAAGAAAAAUUCUUUUAAAAUCUUUUAUUACCAGAUUUCAGUGAGGACAAACUCUGACUUUUGAGUCCUUUUACUAGUGGUAACCUGAUAUGUGAAAUCAGUAAGCCUUAAUUAAGGGGAUGACUUAAACAGGGAUGCAGGAGUUAUCUCCAAAGAGACGGUAAACAAUUUACAAGAUCUAGAAUAUCCCCAGGCUGAACAUGGUGGCUCAUGCCUGUAUCCCAGCAUUUUGAGAGGCCAAGGCGGGUGGAUCACCUGAGGUCAGGAGUUCAUGACCAGCCUUGCCAACAUGGUGAAAUCCCGUCUUCAGUAAAAAUUCAAAAUUAGCCAGGCACAAUGGUGUGUGCCUGUAGUCCCAGCUACUCAGGAGGCAGAGGCAGGAGAAUUGCUUGAACCUGGGAGGCAGAGGUUGCUGUGAGCCGAGAUUGUGCCACUGCACUUCAGCCUGGGUGACAGAGCAAGACUUUACAGGAACUAUUUCUCUACUGCAAUUAAAUCCAUGCACCAUGGGUCAGCAGUGCAUUGUUAGUAGAGAUGAUGUCAGCUUCAGCCUCCAGUCCAAGAGAACUACACAGCCACUUGGGCUAGCCUCGGGAUCUAUUGCCAGUAGGGGGCUACCAAACCACAAGCAGGUAGCCACAAGGGUGAUACCAUAUGAGCCCCCAAAUUUGUAACCUCCCAGGGGUUCUUCCUGCCCACUGCGUAAAGACAGACUAUGAUAUUGUAGUAAAGAAAGAGUUCAGUAGCCACAAGUCCAGCCACCCAACAUGGGAGAUGGAGUUUAUACUCAAAUCAUCUCCUUCAAAGCUUGUAGGUUAAGGGUUUUUUAAAGGCAGUUGGAAGAAAGGGGUGGGGUGGCCACAUAAAAGGUGCUUGUGGCUUAUUGGUUGGGGAAGAAAUAAAAUCACAGGGGGUUGAGGCUGCCCUACUGGGGCCAAGUCGCUUCUGGAUGGGACCACAGGAGCGGGUUGUCAGUCCAGGUGGAGCCAAGGCAAGGGACUCAGACAUGCAAAAAACCUGGAAAGAUCUCUCAAAAGGCCAAUCUACAAUAGUGGUGUUAUUAGCAACUGGGUAAGUUUCAUAUCCUAUAACCUCCAGAAUAAUGUCUGCACCUUAGCAGGACUCAGACUCCUCUCUUCCCAUCAGCCUGAUGGCUUCCUUUUAGCUUUACAAAAGUGGUUGAGUUUUGAGUAAGAUGUAUUGUCAUUUAAACUGUAGCCUAGACUGCCAGGAUUGCAUAUGCCUUGAAAGCACAGAGCCUCGUCCUCACCACUCUGCCACCUGUCCAUACCUGUAACCAGUCCACCAUGGAUGAUGAUAUCACCGUACUUUUUGUCAACAACGGCUCCUGCAUGUGCAAGGGCAGCCUUGUGGGCAGUGAUCCCCCCAAGGCUGUCAUCUCCCCCAUCAUGGGGCAGUGGAGGCACCAGGACAUGAUGAUGGGUGUGAGUCAGAAGGACUCCCGCGUGGGCAUUGAGGCCCAGAGCAAGAGAGGCAUCCUGACCCUGAAGUACCCUAUUGAACACAGCAGCAUCAUCAGCUGGGAUGACGUGGAGAAAAUCUGGCACUACACCUUCUAUAAUUAGCUGCAUGUGGCUUUCAAGGAGCACCAUGUGCUGCUGACUGAGGCCCCCCUGUACCCCAACGCCAGCCACAAGUAGAUGACCCAGAUCAUGUUUGAGACCUUCAACACCCUAGCCAUGUACGUGGCCAUCCAGGCCAUGCUGUCCCUGUAUGCCUCUGGCCAUACCACUGGCAUUGUGAUGGACUCUGGCAAUGGAGUUACUCACACUAUGGUCAUCUGCAGGGGAUACACCCUCCCCUGUGCCAUCCUGUGUCUGGACCUGACUGGCCAGGACCUGAUUGGCUACCUCAUGAAGAUCUUCACCAAGCAUGGCUACAGCUUUACCACCACGGCUAAGUGGGAAAUUAUGCAUGACAUCAAGGAGAAGCUAUGCUUUGUCGCCCUGGACUUCCAGCAGGAGAUGGCCACAGCAGCCUCUAGCUCCUCCGUGGAGAAGAGCUAUGAGCUGCCCAAUAGCCAGGUUAUCACCAUCAGCCAUGAGCUGAUCUGCUGCCCUGAGGCACUCUUCCAGCCUUCCUUCCUGGGCAUGGAAACCUGUGGCAUCCACAAAGCUACCUUCAACUCCAUCAUGAAGUGUGAUGUGGACAUCCACAAAGACCUGUAUGUUAACACAGUGUUGUCUGGCGGCACCAACAUGUACCCUGGCAUUGCCGACAGGAUGCAGAAAGAGAUCACCGCUCUGGCACCCAGCUUGAUGAAGAUCGAGAUCAUUGCUCCUCCGGAGCACAAAUACUCUGUGUGGAUGGAGGGCUCCAUCCUGGCCUCGCUGUCUACCUUCCAGCAGAUGUGGGUCAGCAAGCAGGAGUAUGAGUCCGGCCCUCCACUGUCCACUGCAAAUGCUUCUAGGAAGACUGUUACUUAGUUGCAUUACACCCUUUUUUGACAAAACCUAACUUGUGCAGAAAACAAGAUUGGCAUGGCUUUAUUUGUUUUGUUUGGCUUCACUCAGGAUUUAAAAAUUGGAAAGUGUAGGGGACAGCAGUUGGUUGGAGUGAGCAUUCCCUGAAGUUCUACAGUGUGGUUGAGGACUUUGAUUGUACAUUGAUCUUUUUUUUAAUAGUCAUUCCAAAUAUCUGAGAUGCAUUGCUACAGGAAGUCCCUUGCCCUCCUAAAAGCCACCCCCCUUCUCUCUAAGAAGAAGUCUUAGAAGAGAGUCCACAGUGGGGAGGUGAUAGCAUUGCUUUCAUGUAAAUUCUGUAAUGCAAAAUUUUCUUAAUAUUCACCUUAAUUUUUUCUAUUUUGUUGUAUUCUGAAUGAUCAGCCUUUGUGGCCCAUUUUUUUGGUCCCCCAACUUGAGAUAUAUGAAAGCUUUUGGUCUCCCUGGGAGUGGGUGGAGGCAGCUAUGGCUUACCUGUACAUAGUUGAAUAAAAGUACACACUUUAAAAAAUAAUAAUAAAAUUGAAAAACUGUAGUCUAAAUGUCUGUCAAAGUUAGCUUGGCCCCAUAGCCCAUAAUAAUUAAGGGAAAGGCAAGAUGGGGUUUGGGCUAGCUUAGUUUACUGUAAUAAUGUUCUCAGUAAUAUAACUUUUGCAAAGGCGGUUUCAGUAUCAUAGAAGGGUUCAUGUUGUAAAAGAAAUAAAAAGCAGUCUUGAAUAUUAAGAACCCUUUUGCUAAUGUUAAUUUGAUUUUUGGCAUUGAUGCUUCUAUGUCUUGUUCCUCAUUGUUUGCCACUGGUUUAGAAGCACUCAUCUCCAUUGAGUUGUCUUCUGUUCAUUCCUCUGGUAUGGUGUCUAUUAGCUCUUGAAUUUCUUGACAAUCCAUAUCUUGAAUGUCUUCACCCACCAAUUUUUUUUUUUGCCAUAUUUACAAUCUCUUUCAUGAUUUCCUUGAUUGGUUCUGUUGUUAAGUUCUGUGCACAACAUCUGGAUGUAGUUUUCUCCAGCAGGAAGUUAUUGUUUCAGGCUUGAUGACUUUCAUAGAUUUUUCUGUAACAGCAAUGGCAUAUUCUGUGGAGUAAUUCUUCUGACUGCCAUCAUGUUCUCUCCAUUGCAGUUCUUUUCCAUAGCACUAACAGUCAGUUUUAUAGAAUAUUGUGUUUAAUGGCCUUUAUGGCACCCUGAUCUAGAGCCUGAGUUAGAGAUGUGUUUAGAGGCAACUAGACUACUUUAACACUCACAAGGUUCUGGGUGGCCAGGGGCAUUGUCAAACAUAGGAACUUAAAAAGGCAGUCGCUUACUGGCAAGGUACUUCCUGAUUUUAGAGAUAAAGCUUGGUGGGGCCAGGCACAGUGGUCAUGCCUAUAAUCCCAGCACUUUGGGAGGCCGAGGUGGGCGGAUCAUGAGGUCAGGAAUUUAAGACCAGCCUGGACAACGUAUUGAAACCCCAUCUCUACUAAAAAUACGUAAAUUAGCCAGGUUUGGUGGCAGGCACCUGUAGUCUCUGCUAUUUGGGAGGCUGAGGCAAGAGAAUCGCUUGAACCCAGUAGUCAGAGGUUGCAGUGAGUUGAGAUCUUGCCACUGCACUUCAGCCUGGGCGACACAGUGAGACUGUCUCAAAAAAAAAAAAAAGGCAUGGGUGGAUUCAAUCCAGAAAAAGAGGUUUUGUUUUUCCAGAUUUCUUUUUCAACAGUCAGAAGACUGGCAGGGGUGGUGUUUACCUUUUUUUCUUCAAGGUCCAGAGGUUAGCAGCUCUUUAUAUAAGGGUAGUUCUGAUCUUAAUCCUGAAUGCAUUUACACAAAACAGUGGAGUUAGCUUAUCCCUUCCUGCCUUGAAUCUUGGUGCUUGCUCCUCUUCCUUACUAAUAAAUGUACUUUGUGGCAUCUUCUUCCACAAUAUGGUACUUUCAUCUGCAAUAAAAACCUGUUCAAGCAGGUAUCUUUUGUCCUUUAUGAUUUUCUGGAUGGUGUCUGGGAAUUUGUCUAUUGCCUCUUGGUCAGCAAAAGCUGUUAUCUUGAUGUUUUUUAAGCUAAAACUGUUUCUAAAAUUAUAAACCCAUUCUUUCCUAGCAUUAAAUUCUCCAGCUUUAGAUCCUUUACCCUCCUUUUGCUUUAUGUUGUUGUAUAAUGACUUCAUUUUUUAAAAAAAAAACAAUGUUAGAGUCUAUAGUUAGAGCUUUUUUACAGCAAUCCUGUAUCCACAUAACAGCUGCAUUUUCAUUAUGAGAUAAAAAGGUGUUCUGCAGAAGUACAUGGUUUUCACACCUAGUGGCGUCACUGCAGUGACAGCUUCACAAAUUUACUUGUGUUAUUUUACAACAAUCCUCUUGAUGGAUUCAUUUUAUCUUGGAAUGGUGGGUAACCACAGCUACUAGCCUUCAAUCUAUGGUCCAUAUCAAGUCAUUCAACUUUUUCUUGUAAUGUCUUAACUUCUCUCUACUUAAGAGCAUUCCCAGCAUCACUAGUGGCACUCCAUGUGGGUCCCAUGAUAUUAUUCAGGGUUUGCUGUAUCACAGUAAACAUGAUGGAAAAUACCUGAGAACCUUUAGAGAUCAGUUUUAUUUGUUAUCUUUUUGUUUUAUUUUGUUUUAUUAGAAACAGAGUCACACUCUGUCACCCAGACUGGAGUGCAGUGGUACAGUCAUAGCUCACUGCAGCUUUGAACUCCCGGGCUUAAGGGAUCCUCUUACCUUAGCCUCCCACAAGAGAUCAGUUUUUUACUGAGAUACACAAUUUAUUGGAGAGAGGAACUGCUCCCGCAGAGAUGAUUAACUUGGUGGGGUAUUUUAAGUACAUGCUUGCAACACUUGAGCUCGGGCAAUAGUGACAGGAAGUGGCUACAACACUAUUACAGUAGUAUAGUAGGUUAUACAGCUAAUUUUAUGCAGUUAUGAUUUAAUACUACAUCUUUACAUUUGCUUACAUUUCGCUGGGCUGUGAAUGUCACCUUGUAUGCUUUGUAAGUGUGUAAGUUUUUAUAAAUUUUUAACUUUUUUAGUUGAUUUGCAUAUAUUUUACAGUAGUAAAUGAUAAAACAUACUAUCUAUAUUUUUUGUUUGUUUUGAGAUAGGUCUUACUAUAUUUCUCAGGUUAGUCUCUCAAACUACUGGGCUUAAUUGAUCCUCCUGCCUCUGCCUCCCCAGUAGCUAGGAUUACAAAUGCACACCACUUUUCAUGCAUCUACAUAUAUUUUAUGUAUUCAUGACAUGCCUCACUUUUUCUUAUAUUCUGUUUUUCUAGGCUAUGCAGUUUUUGUCUCUUAAGUUUUUCAAAUUGUUGCAAAUUUCCAAAAACUUUUUCCAUAUAUUAUAUUGAAAAUAAAUGGCAUCUAAGUGGACCUGCAGUUUGAACCCAUGUUGUUGGUCAGCUGAAUAGAUUUUCCUAUAUCACAGGUGUAUAUACCUUUGCCAAAAUUGUAUUUCCAUAAUUAAGUGAAGACUAACAAAGAGUUCUGUCCUUGGCAAGAGAUGAAUAAAUAUUUGAGUGCCAUUUUAUAAAAAACAAAUAAAUUUUGCAUUCCAUGGAAAAUCUUCCCAAGGUAUAUUUCUGGGCUUUUCCUUUGCCAUUCUCUUAUCUCUUAUUUCUCAAAAUCAUUUCUCACAAAUGUAGCCAUUUGUAUCUACUUCUAUUUCUGAGUCUUAUUCUUACUGAAUUAUCCAUGUACUCCCAUUUUUUUUACUAGUAGUCCUAUCUAUACACUCCAAUGUCAUAUUCCUAUAUCCCUUUCACUGAGAAACUCCGUAUCAUGCAGAUCCACAAUUGCCCUCCUCUACUUCCCCAGCACUUGGUUUCUGCUUCAUCAUUAACACAUUUUUAAAAAGAUAGAUGUAUUUAUUUUGAUCUCCCUUACAAGCCUAUGAGUUCUGUUGUCCUUGUUUCUUUAGUUUCCAGGGCAGAGCUUUAUUCAGAGUAGUUGUUUAUUAACUAGGCAAAGGAAUAUCAUUUGAGGAUGCUAAGCAUGGGCUUAUAAACAAUAUAAAGAUGCACAGAGUAAAAUGUAGACCUUUAUACUCUUAAUAUUCCUGCUUCUGCAUGGAGAUCUUCAGUAUUUCAUACUUGAUUUUUUUCUUUUUUCUGUACAUUUUUAUUUAGAUGUAAAUAUGAAUUUUUAGAAACAUAACUGUAUGUAUAGUGACUUUUUUUGAGACCGAGUUUCACUCUUGUUGCCCAGGCUGGAGUGCAGUGGUGCAAUCUUACCUCACUGCAACCUCUGCCUCCCGGGUCAAUUUUCCUGCCUCAGCCUCCUGAGUAGCUAGGAUUACAGGUGCCCACUACCACACCUAGCUGAAUUUUUGUAUUUUCAGUAGAAUUGGGGUUUCACCAUGUUGGCCAGGCUUGUCUUAAACUCCUGACCUUAGGUGAUCCACCUUCCUCAGCCUCCCAAAGUAGUGGAAUUAUAGGCAUGAGCCGCUGGGCCUGGCUCAAAAAAAAUUUUGUUUUUCAUUUAACAAUGUAUCUUAGGGAACCAUAUUAGUAUAUGUUGAUGUGUCCCAUUUUUACUGCUGUAUUCAUACUCUAGACAUAUGUCUUAGUCAAACAGAAAAAUCUAAGGCAUGUAGGCAACAAAGUAUUUCGUGACAUCAAGGAAUAGCUUCUCUGGUGCUGAGGGAUAUUAAUGCCUGACAUAUUGGGAUAGUUAGCACAGGAUCUUACCAUUGACUUAUUUAUGUAAAUAAGUCUUUUUUUUUUUUGAAACACAGUCUCACUCUUUCACCCAGAUUGGAGUGCUGUGGCACAGUUUUAGAUCACUGCAGUUUUGAAUUUCUGGGUUCAAGCAAUCAUCCUGCCUCAGCCUCCUAAAUAGCUGGGAUUACAGGUGCAUACCAGCAUUCCUGCCUGAUUUUUUAGAUUUUUUUUUGGUAGAGAUGAGGUUUGGCUAUGUUGCUCAGACUAGUCUCAAUCUCCUGGCCUUAAGCGGUCCUCCCACCUCAGCCUCCCAGCAUGCUGGGAUUAUAGAUGUGAGCCACUGCAUCUGUCUUGUCCUGUCCUACCCUGUCCAAUUUUUAUAAUGUUUUUCUCAGAUGCAGCACAGUGGCUCACACCUGUAAUACCAGCACUUUGGGAGGCCAAGGCAGGCUGAUCAUGAGGUCAGGAGAUCGAGACCAUCCUGGCCAACAUGGUGAAACCCUUUCUUUACUAAAAUACAAAACAUUAGCCAGGUGUGGUGGUGCAGACCUGUAGUCCCAGCUACUUGAGAGGCUGAGGCAGGGUAAUAGCUUGAACUCGGGAGGCAGUGGUUGCAGUGAGUUGAGAUAGUGACUCUGCACUCCAGCUUGGUGACAGAGUAAGAUUUCGUCUCAAAAACAAAAAAACAAAAUAAAAUGUUUGUCUCUUUUAGGGUAGAGAACAUUUUCUUUCAAUUGCCUGGCACAUAGUUAACACCUAAUACAUUUUUCAAAUUAAUGAAUGAUCAAAAGACUGUUGAAAGUUAAGUUCUGGACUAAAUAAUACAAAGUCCUUGUAAUGAAUACAAAGUCUCUAUCUAUGAUGACAUCUAUAAUAUGUCUCAGGGUGUUUGUUAAUGAGUUAGUUAUUCUAUUCUCCUUGGUCAAGGAGAUAUCAAAAUAUUGAAGUUUAAUAUUCUUUUGUUUUUGUUUAG
Non-coding RNA from Callithrix jacchus (white-tufted-ear marmoset), 12861 nucleotides. The record is from RefSeq and is a predicted model, not a curated record. Lineage: Eukaryota; Metazoa; Chordata; Mammalia; Primates; Cebidae.